RNAcentral lists this ribosomal RNA (1516 nucleotides) under Clostridium perfringens. RNAcentral's name for it is "16S ribosomal RNA". It matches the Rfam family "Bacterial small subunit ribosomal RNA". The record is from RNAcentral. Lineage: Bacteria; Bacillati; Bacillota; Clostridia; Eubacteriales; Clostridiaceae.
UUUAAAUUGAGAGUUUGAUCCUGGCUCAGGAUGAACGCUGGCGGCGUGCUUAACACAUGCAAGUCGAGCGAUGAAGUUUCCUUCGGGAAAUGGAUUAGCGGCGGACGGGUGAGUAACACGUGGGUAACCUGCCUCAUAGAGUGGAAUAGCCUUCCGAAAGGGAGAUUAAUACCGCAUAACGUUGAAAGAUGGCAUCAUCAUUCAACCAAAGGAGCAAUCCGCUAUGAGAUGGACCCGCGGCGCAUUAGCUAGUUGGUGGGGUAACGGCCUACCAAGGCGACGAUGCGUAGCCGACCUGAGAGGGUGAUCGGCCACAUUGGGACUGAGACACGGCCCAGACUCCUACGGAGGCAGCAGUGGGGAAUAUUGCACAAUGGGGAAACCCCUGAUGCAGCAACGCCGCGUGAGUGAUGAAGGUUUUCGGAUCGUAAAGCUCUGUCUUUGGGGAAGAUAAUGACGGUACCCAAGGAGGAAGCCACGGCUAACUACGUGCCAGCAGCCGCGGUAAUACGUAGGUGGCGAGCGUUAUCCGGAUUUACUGGGCGUAAAGGGAGCGUAGGCGGAUGAUUAAGUGGGAUGUGAAAUACCCGGCUCAACUUGGGUGCUGCAUUCCAAACUGGUUAUCUAGAGUGCAGGAGAGGAGAGUGGAAUUCCUAGUGUAGCGGUGAAAUGCGUAGAGAUUAGGAAGAACACCAGUGGCGAAGGCGACUCUCUGGACUGUAACUGACGCUGAGGCUCGAAAGCGUGGGGAGCAAACAGGAUUAGAUACCCUGGUAGUCCACGCCGUAAACGAUGAAUACUAGGUGUGGGGGUUUCAACACCUCCGUGCCGCCGCUAACGCAUUAAGUAUUCCGCCUGGGGAGUACGGUCGCAAGAUUAAAACUCAAAGGAAUUGACGGGGACCCGCACAAGUAGCGGAGCAUGUGGUUUAAUUCGAAGCAACGCGAAGAACCUUACCUACACUUGACAUCCCUUGCAUUACUCUUAAUCGAGGAAAUCCCUUCGGGGACAAGGUGACAGGUGGUGCAUGGUUGUCGUCAGCUCGUGUCGUGAGAUGUUGGGUUAAGUCCCGCAACGAGCGCAACCCUUGUCGUUAGUUACUACCAUUAAGUUGAGGACUCUAGCGAGACUGCCUGGGUUAACCAGAGGAAGGUGGGGAUGACGUCAAAUCAUCAUGCCCCUUAUGUGUAGGGCUACACACGUGCUACAAUGGCUGGUACAGAGAGAUGCAAUACCGCGAGGUGGAGCCAAACUUAAAAAACCAGUCUCAGUUCGGAUUGUAGGCUGAAACUCGCCUACAUGAAGCUGGAGUUACUAGUAAUCGCGAAUCAGAAUGUCGCGGUGAAUACGUUCCCGGGUCUUGUACACACCGCCCGUCACACCAUGAGAGUUGGCAAUACCCGAAGUCCGUGAGCUAACCGCAAGGAGGCAGCGGCCGAAGGUAGGGUCAGCGAUUGGGGUGAAGUCGUAACAAGGUAGCCGUAGGAGAACCUGCGGCUGGAUCACCUCCUUUCUA